This 880-nucleotide unclassified non-coding RNA is filed under the name Rhipicephalus microplus (southern cattle tick). Its description in RNAcentral is "uncharacterized LOC119173574, transcript variant X2". The record is from RNAcentral. Lineage: Eukaryota; Metazoa; Arthropoda; Arachnida; Ixodida; Ixodidae.
GGUUACUUAGUUGAAAAUAAGCGGUACAACAUAAGAAGAAGCGUGAUGUGUGUUACCCAACUGGCAACGUUGUGCAAGUUCUAUAUUUCACACCAUUAGCCAUGGCGUCUCGCAUCGUACGCAAGGAGGAUAUAACGACGUACGAUCCUCCUUGAUCCCAAUGUCGUCUUCUCUAUGAUCCACUGCGGAUCUCGAUUCUCUCUGGACAAUGUGCCGUUCCGAGUUGUCAAGGAAACCGUCAAAGUGUGCAUAUUUGGAACGGAGUACUACAAGAAAACUCAGGAGAAAAAAAAAAAAAAGAACAGGUAUGUUACAUGGUGAUGCAGUUCCAAAAGUUUCAAUCUCAUGCACAUAUCCAGCAGUCAUCCAGUUCAAAGAUUGUGUGUAGGCAGUGUAAAGAAGAUUUACUUUAAGUUACUACAAGUUUACACGAGAAAUAAAUAUUGUUAACUUCAUUUACAGAGUUCACGUACCACUGACUGGCAGAAGGAGGUGUACGAGAAGAAGCGGGUGAACCUCCAAGGCACAAAGAAGAAGGGGUGCGCAGCAACAAUGAAUUUGAAGUGGAUUGAGUUGUACCCAGAUUUCCAGUAUUCCAUUCCAGAUACGCAUACUUUGACAGUUCCCUUGAUAACUGGAAACUGCACAUUGUCCAGAGGGAUUCGAGAUCCGCAGUGGAUCACGGAGAAGACGACAUUGGCUGAAAAUAAACAAUAAAGAGGAUUUAAUGAAGGCACCUAGUUUUAUGCAUGGCAGAGGGCAAUAUAAAAUCUCGUUUUAGUUUUUGUGUGAUGGCAGCAAAAAAACUUUAUGCGCUGCCUCUGGCAAGAAAUUCUGGCUGGCUUUUGUCAACCAGAAUAAUAAAUAUAAUUAUCAUUAA